RNAcentral lists this ribosomal RNA (382 nucleotides) under uncultured marine Chaetocerotaceae. RNAcentral's name for it is "SSU rRNA". It matches the Rfam family "Eukaryotic small subunit ribosomal RNA", at positions 587 to 972 of the family's 1831-position model. The record is from RNAcentral. Lineage: Eukaryota; Bacillariophyta; Thalassiosirophyceae; Chaetocerotales; Chaetocerotaceae.
AGCUCCAAUAGCGUAUAUUAAAGUUGUUGCAGUUAAAAAGCUCGUAGUUGGAUUUCUGGUGUGAGGGAACGGUCCGACCUCUGGUGGGUACUUGCUUCCUCUCACGCCAUCCUUGAGUGGUGCGUUCUGGCAUUCAGUUGUCGGGACGUUAGCCGCUCAUCGUUUACUGUGAGAAAAUUAGAGUGUUCAAAGCAGGCUUAUGCCGUUGAAUAUAUUAGCAUGGAAUAAUAAGAUAGGACUUCGGUACUAUGUUGUUGGUUUGCGCACCGAUGUAAUGAUCAAUAGGGACAGUUGGGGGUAUUCGUAUUCAGUUGUCAGAGGUGAAAUUCUUAGAUUUACGGAAGACGAACUACUGCGAAAGCAUUUACCAAGGAUGUUUGCA